This 497-nucleotide ribosomal RNA is filed under the name uncultured bacterium. RNAcentral's name for it is "partial 16S ribosomal RNA". It matches the Rfam family "Bacterial small subunit ribosomal RNA", at positions 28 to 507 of the family's 1533-position model. The record is from RNAcentral.
GAUGAACGCUGGCGGCGUGCCUAAUACAUGCAAGUCGAGCGAACAGACGAGGAGCUUGCUCCUCUGACGUUAGCGGCGGACGGGUGAGUAAAACGUGGAUAACCUACCUAUAAGACUGGGAUAACUUCGGGAAGCCGGAGCUAAUACCGGAUAAUAUAUUGAACCGCAUGGUUCAAUAGUGAAAGACGGUUUUGCUGUCACUUAUAGAUGGAUCCGCGCCGCAUUAGCUAGUUGGUAAGGUAACGGCUUACCAAGGCGACGAUGCGUAGCCGACCUGAGAGGGUGAUCGGCCACACUGGAACUGAGACACGGUCCAGACUCCUACGGGAGGCAGCAGUAGGGAAUCUUCCGCAAUGGGCGAAAGCCUGACGGAGCAACGCCGCGUGAGUGAUGAAGGUCUUCGGAUCGUAAAACUCUGUUAUUAGGGAAGAACAAAUGUGUAAGUAACUAUGCACGUCUUGACGGUACCUAAUCAGAAAGCCACGGCUAACUACGUG